UGGCGAACGGGUGAGUAACGCGUGAGUAACCUGCCCUGGAGUGGGGGACAACAGUUGGAAACGACUGCUAAUACCGCAUAAGCCCACGGCCCGGCAUCGGGCUGCGGGAAAAGGAUUUAUUCGCUUCAGGAUGGACUCGCGUCCAAUUAGCUAGUUGGUGAGGUAACGGCCCACCAAGGCGACGAUUGGUAGCCGGACUGAGAGGUUGAACGGCCACAUUGGGACUGAGACACGGCCCAGACUCCUACGGGAGGCAGCAGUGGGGGAUAUUGCACAAUGGGGGAAACCCUGAUGCAGCGACGCCGCGUGGAGGAAGAAGGUUUUCGGAUUGUAAACUCCUGUCGUUAGGGACGAUAAUGACGGUACCUAACAAGAAAGCACCGGCUAACUACGUGCCAGCAGCCGCGGUAAAACGUAGGGUGCAAGCGUUGUCCGGAAUUACUGGGUGUAAAGGGAGCGCAGGCGGACCGGCAAGUUGGAAGUGAAAACCAUGGGCUCAACCCAUGAAUUGCUUUCAAAACUGCUGGCCUUGAGUAGUGCAGAGGUAGGUGGAAUUCCCGGUGUAGCGGUGGAAUGCGUAGAUAUCGGGAGGAACACCAGUGGCGAAGGCGACCUACUGGGCACCAACUGACGCUGAGGCUCGAAAGCAUGGGU
This 654-nucleotide ribosomal RNA is filed under the name uncultured bacterium. Its description in RNAcentral is "bacterial SSU rRNA". It matches the Rfam family "Bacterial small subunit ribosomal RNA", at positions 96 to 766 of the family's 1533-position model. The record is from RNAcentral.